This 1183-nucleotide long non-coding RNA is filed under the name Homo sapiens (human). Its description in RNAcentral is "HSALNT0293747". The record is from RNAcentral. Lineage: Eukaryota; Metazoa; Chordata; Mammalia; Primates; Hominidae.
UAUGGAUAAUCCAGCCCCAGCCCCAGCCCCAGCCCCAUUUUACAGAUGAGGAAACUGGGACUUACUGAAGUCAUGUAUUUAAUGAAGGGUUAAACUAGGAUUUGAACUGAAUCUCUUGAUCUUAAGGCUGAUGGUCUCAUUUGUUCCAUCAUGCAGCUGCCUCAGGCCUGUGCUGUAUCCCUUUAUGCCACACAAGAGAGAUAGCUCCCUCCACUUCAGUCUAUAAUACAAACGAAGAUCAGCCAUUUGUUGCAUCCGAGGUAAACUGGCCUGGAUUUGUGGUCUGAGUUCACCAUAUUUCCACAGUAUGACAUUGAAGAAGAAAGGAAUUUUACUUGUCACUUGAUAGUUAUUGUCUCAUGACACUAAGCUAUGACUUGGAGACAAAGGCCAAGUCAAGCCCCACUGUGAGAUUCAAUGAUUCCUUGGUGGAGAAAGAAGCAUUUGAUGUGGAGCCUGACACACCUGAAAGUGAGCUCCAUAGGGCAAGGAUUUUUGUCUACUUUGCUCACCACUGUAUCCCAAGGGCCUAUCUCAUAAAGGGAGGGGAAGAAAUAUCUAGCACAGCUGCUUCCGAAUUCCCUGGCUGGUCUGAGAACUGUGUGAAGCUGUGAUGGAACCCCCUGGAGAUGUUCUGCAGCUCCAGGCCUCACUUCACAGACUCACUGCAGGAAUGGAUGAACUAAUAAAUGAUUAAGAAUGGAGGCUACAGCUGUACACAGGUGUCCACUUUCUCUGUGCCCUGGCUGAAGUGGCUUUCACCUCCAGUUGCAGUGGGAUUUAUCUUGAUUGGUCCAGGCUAGCCAUGAUAAAUCUACUUCCAAGCAAGUGAUUUGUUUAGGGCUGCCUAUUUAAUCUAGUUCUAGACAAUGGAAUAUGAAAGAAAAUCUGUUGAGGAAUUCUGGAUAUUCUGUGUGAAGAUGUAAUACCUGCAAACGUGGUCUUGAGGAUUGCUUGCCCACAUGCCAAGGAUGGCAGAGCAGAAAGAAAAACAUGGGUCCUUGAUGGUAUAAUUUAGCCACAAAUUAAUCAACCUUGGAGCCUCCCCCUACCUCAGGACUUUAUGUUAUGUUUACACAUCCUUUAGCUAAGUUUUCUGUUACUUACAGCACUAAAUACCCUGUCUGAUCCCAUCUCCUUAUCUUUUUAUAAAUCUUGUUUAUGUUUGCCAGCCCACAGCAGU